GAGGAGCGCUAAGAAUAUAGGUGAUGGACUAAGGCCAUGACAGCUGAACUGCCCACCAAGAAAGAAGUAGAACUGGAUGAAAGGUCUUACUAAUGAAGGCCUAUUAACUAAGGACAUAUUUCAAUGGCACAGACUUUUCAUAUCAAAAGGAGGUAUAAGAGCCACAGGGAAGCUGAAGGAUAACAAAACCCUGAAAGAACAGGUGACUCCACAGGUGGACUCAAGUCUGGUCCACAUAUCAGGACUGUGCCAGGACAACGGCAACAAAGAACAAUGUUCCACCAUUUAACGUCAACUACUUCAACUUUCAUCAAAAGUCUGACUGAAGUCCAUCAACUACUCCUCCAGAAGAGUAUCAUCUAAAUUUUACAGAUAGGGACACAAGGGGGCUAAAGAGUUUAAAUAAUCUACCACAAAUCACACAGCUGAGCAAACAGCAGUUAUCAGAUAUGAAUUUCGUCAACCUCCUUGCCCCAACCACCAUGCCCAUCCUCUACUACAAACCGGCUCCUACUUGCUUCAGUGUAAAGUCUCAUCUCCUGCACCACUCCCGAU
Molecule: long non-coding RNA, 555 nt
Organism: Symphalangus syndactylus (siamang)
Lineage: Eukaryota; Metazoa; Chordata; Mammalia; Primates; Hylobatidae
Source: RefSeq, a predicted model, not a curated record